UGGGGAAUAUUGCACAAUGGAGGGAACUCUGAUGCAGCGACGCCGCGUGAACGAAGAAGGCUUUCGAGUCGUAAAGUUCUUUUAUAUGGGAAGAUAAUGACGGUACCAUAAGAAAAAGCCCCGGCUAACUACGUGCCAGCAGCCGCGGUAAUACGUAGGGGGCUAGCGUUGUCCGGAAUCACUGGGCGUAAAGGGUUCGCAGGCGGAAAUGCAAGUCAGGUGUAAAAGGCAGUAGCUUAACUACUGUAAGCAUUUGAAACUGCAUAUCUUGAGAAGAGUAGAGGUAAGUGGAAUUUUUAGUGUAGCGGUGAAAUGCGUAGAUAUUAAAAAGAAUACCGGUGGCGAAGGCGACUUACUGGGCUCAUUCUGACGCUGAGGAACGAAAGCGUGUGUAGCAAACAGG
Molecule: ribosomal RNA, 403 nt
Filed under: bacterium
Lineage: Bacteria
Also listed under: 1 other name
Description: partial 16S ribosomal RNA
Rfam family: Bacterial small subunit ribosomal RNA
Source: RNAcentral